AUGACCCUAGGUUAAGUGGGAUUACCUAUAGAGUUUAAGCAUAUCAAUAAGUGGAGGAAAAGAAGCUUACCAGGAUUCAUCUAAUAAUGAUGAAAGAACUGGGACAAGCCUAACUUCAGAAUCGAGUGCCCCUAACAUCUAAAUUAUAGUUUGGACAAAUGUCUUCAGUGGCAAACUGAACCCAAUCCCUUGGAAAAGGGCAUCGAAGAAGGUGAGAGCCCUGCUAUGCCUGGACCUUGUUGUACCAUGAGGCACUAUUUGUGAGAUGAGUUGUUUAAGAAUGUAGCCUAAUGGAGUGGUAAAUUCCAUCCAAGGCUGAAUACGGGCAAGAGACCAAAAGCAAACAAGCACUACGAGGGAAAGAUGAAAAGGACUUUGAAAGAGAGUCAAAGAGUGCUUGAAAUUGUUAGGAGAGAAGUAGAUAGGGGCUAGCAAUGCACCUUGAUCAGAUGUGGAACAGUGAAAGCCAAUUCAUUGAUCAACUUAGGGCAUGGACCAACAUGGGUUAUAUUUGUAACACAAGCCCAAGCUUUUGAUAUGCCUACAAAGACAUUGUCACUAUAAUUGUGGAAUGCAAUAUGUGCCAUCUUGGCAUGCCUCGCACCUGCAUGUUUCCAUCGUUCGCCUGCGGGCUCCCCAUCCAGGCCACUUUGAAACAUGGACCAAAGAGUCUGACAUGUGUGCGAGUCAAUAGGCUAGUAAAUUCGUAAAGUGCAAAGAAGCUAAUUAGCAAGAUCCCUUAUGGGUGCACCAUUGAUCAACCUUGAUCUUCUAAGUAGGGUUCAAGUACGAGAAUGCUUGUUAGGACUCAAAAUAUGGUGAACUAUGCUUGAGCAGAGGGAACCCAAAAGAAACUUUAAGGGAAGCUUACAGUGAUACUAAUGUGCAAAUUAUUUGUUUGACUUGGGUAAGGUGCAAAAGACUAAUCAUCUAGCAACUGGUUCCCUCUAAAGUUUCUUUCAAGAUAGUCAGAGCCCUUAGUGAGUUCUAUCAGGUAAAGCCAAUGAUUAGAGGCAUUAGGGUGCAACACCCUCGACUUAUUCUCAAACAUUAAAUAGGUAGGAUGGUGCGGCUACUUCACUGAGCCACACCAUAAAAUUGAGAGCUUCAUGUAGGUAAUUUUUGGUACGUGGAACUGGCAAAGCAAGAUGAACUAGAAGCCAGGUUAUGGUGCCUAACUACCUGAUAACCUAGAACCCAUAAAGGGUGUUGGUCAAUUAAGAUAGAAAGAUAGUGCUCAUAGAAGUCAAAAUCCACUAAGGAGUAAUAACUUACCUACUGAAUCAUCUAGCCCAAAAAAUGGAUGGUGCUUAAGCACAUGGCCCAUACCCCACCAAUGGGGCAACGACUAGGCCCCGAUGAUUAUAAAGGCAUAGUUGUCAUUGCAAAACUUGAGGCACAAGGCCGAGCAAAAUGACCAUUGAUGCACAUCUUGAUGGUAGUAGCUAAUAUUCAAAUGAGAACUUUGAACACCGAAGAAAUGAAAGGUUGCAUGUGAACAACACUUACAGAUGGGUUAGCUAAUCCAAGGAGAUGGGUGAAACCCAUCUAAAAGUGCAUCCAACAUGAGCUUCAAAAGGGAAUUAGGUUAAAAUUCUUGAACUAAGAUACAACUACUGAUAGCAACAUUAGGGAGUCCAAAGACAUUGGUAAAGGCUUGGGGAAGAGUUAUUUUUUUUAUUUAAUGGCCUACCCACCCUAGAAAUGGCUCAACUGGAGGUAGGGUCUAAAGUCCAAAAAAGCACCUCACAUCACGUGGUGUCUGGUGUACCUCUGGUAGCGUUUGAAAAUCCAGAAGAUUGAGUGCCAUCUAUGCUCAAUUGUACUCAUAACCACAUUAGGUCUCCACGGUGAAUAGCCUCUGGUCGAUGGAGCAAUAUAGGUAAGAGAAAUUGGUAAAAUGGAUCUGUAACCUCAUGAAAAGGAUUAGCUCUAAGGUCUAGCCACAGGGGUCCUAGUGCCAAACCCAUCAACUAUAGGUGCACUACUCAAGCUACUUCUAUAAUGAGAGUAAGUCACCAUGUGUCAACUAUGGGAUGGAUUGGGAAUGGAUCCCUCAUGGGCUUUCUCGAGUGAUAAAUAGUUGACCCAAAACUAGUACAGAUAAGGGAAAUCUAACUAUUUAAUUAAAAUAAAGCAUUGUGAUGAUCCUUACAAGUGCUCAUACAAUGUGAUUUCUACCUAGUGCUCUAUAUGUCAAAGUGAAGAAAUUCAACCAAGCAUGAGUAAAUGGUGGGAGUAAUUAUGACUCUCUUAAUGUAGCUAAAUGCCUCAUCAUCUAAUUAGUGACACACAUGAAUGGAUUAAUGAGAUUUCCAAUAUCCCUCUUUAUUAUCCUACGAAACCAUAGCCAAAAAAAUGGGCUUGAUGGAAUCAACAAGGAAACAAGAUCAUAUUGAGCUUGACUCUUGUCUGACUUUUUGAAAUAACUUAAGGGGUGUAGGAUAAGUGGGAGCCCUCAGGUGAAAUUGAAAUAGCACUAUUUUUAACGUUAUUUUACUUAUUUUGUGAAUCAAAGGUGGGGGUACGACCCAUUCUUUGGACCCAACGCUGACCUUGGUUGAUCAAUUCAGGUAUACGACAUUAUUAGGUAAGAAGUUUGGCUAGGUCGACACAUCUGCUAAAAGAUAACACAAGUGUCCUAAGAUGAGCUCAACAAGAAUAAAAAUCUCAUAUAAAACAAUGGGUAAAAGCUUAUUUGAUUCUAUCUAGUAUGAAUAUGAACCAUAAAGGCAUGGCCUAUCAUUCCUUUAAACCUUUGGAAUUUCUAGCUAGAGGUGUCAAAAAAGUUAACAUAGGGAUAACUGGCUUGUGGUAGCCAAGUGUUCAUAGUGACGUUGCUUUUUUAUCCUUUAAUGUUAGCUUUUUUUAUCAUUAUGAAGCAGAAUUCACCAAAUGUUGGAUUGUUCACCCACCAAUAGGGAAUAUACGCUAGGUUUAGACUGUCAUGAGACGAGUUAGUUUUACCAUUCUGAUGAUAGCAUUGCAAUAAUAAUUCAAUCUAAUAUGAGAGGAAUCAUUGAUAUGCAUAAUUGGUCAUCGCACUUGGUUGUAAUGCCAAUAGCAUGAAGCUACCAUGUGCUAGAUUAUGACUGAAUGCCUCUAAGUUAGAAUCUGGGCUAAAAGUGAUGAAUGCACCCAUCGUUCGAUUGUACACCCAUAAUAUGGGCCCAUGGUCUUAAGGGCACGUGUCUUAGGUGUAGCCCCUGUGGUGAACAAACCACACUGGCCUCUUUGGAGCUUAAUUCCCACCAAGCAAUGGUAAAAUCCUUGACAUAUAACUUAAAUAUGUGAUGGGGUAUUUUAAGUGGUAAAGUGUCCUUGCUACCAUAAUCCACUAAGAUUCAACCUUUUGUCACUUUGAUUCAU
RNAcentral lists this ribosomal RNA (3369 nucleotides) under Durio zibethinus. Its description in RNAcentral is "eukaryotic LSU rRNA". It matches the Rfam family "Eukaryotic large subunit ribosomal RNA". The record is from RNAcentral. Lineage: Eukaryota; Viridiplantae; Streptophyta; Magnoliopsida; Malvales; Malvaceae.